This 74-nucleotide microRNA precursor is filed under the name Crocodylus porosus (Australian saltwater crocodile). RNAcentral's name for it is "mir-205 microRNA precursor family". It matches the Rfam family "mir-205 microRNA precursor family". RNAcentral also lists the same sequence under 1 other name. Lineage: Eukaryota; Metazoa; Chordata; Crocodylia; Crocodylidae. The record is from Rfam by way of RNAcentral.
UUCUGUUGUCCUUCAUUCCACCGGAGUCUGUCUCGUACCUAAUCAGAUUUCAGUGGAGUGAAGCACAAGAGACA